RNAcentral lists this ribosomal RNA (253 nucleotides) under uncultured bacterium. Its description in RNAcentral is "partial 16S ribosomal RNA". It matches the Rfam family "Bacterial small subunit ribosomal RNA", at positions 524 to 776 of the family's 1533-position model. The record is from RNAcentral.
GACGUAGGGGGCCAGCGUUGCUCGGAAUUACUGGGCGUAAAGGGUUCGUAGGCGGUGCGGCAAGUUGGGAGUGAAAUCUCUGGGCUUAACCCAGAGGCUGCUUCCGAAACUGCCGUGCUAGAGUGCGGGAGAGGCCAGUGGAAUUGCAGGUGUAGCGGUGAAAUGCGUAGAUAUCUGGAGGAACACCCGUGGCGAAGGCGGCUGGCUAGAUCACAACUGACGCUGAGGAACGAAAGCUAGGGGAGCAAACAGG